RNAcentral lists this ribosomal RNA (292 nucleotides) under uncultured bacterium. RNAcentral's name for it is "partial 16S ribosomal RNA". It matches the Rfam family "Bacterial small subunit ribosomal RNA", at positions 505 to 796 of the family's 1533-position model. The record is from RNAcentral.
GUGCCAGCAGCCGCGGUAAUACAGAGGGGGCAAGCGUUGUUCGGAAUUACUGGGCGUAAAGGGCGCGUAGGCGGCCUUCUAAGUCAGACGUGAAAUCCCCGGGCUCAACCCGGGAACUGCGUCUGAGACUGGAAGGCUCGAAUCCGGGAGAGGGAUGUGGAAUUCCAGGUGUAGCGGUGAAAUGCGUAGAUAUCUGGAGGAACACCGGUGGCGAAGGCGGCAUCCUGGACCGGUAUUGACGCUGAGGCGCGAAAGCCAGGGGAGCAAACGGGAUUAGAUACCCCCGUAGUCC